This 415-nucleotide ribosomal RNA is filed under the name uncultured bacterium. RNAcentral describes it as "bacterial SSU rRNA". It matches the Rfam family "Bacterial small subunit ribosomal RNA", at positions 8 to 419 of the family's 1533-position model. The record is from RNAcentral.
AGAGUUUGAUCCUGGCUCAGAUUGAACGCUGGCGGCAGGCCUAACACAUGCAAGUCGAGCGGCAGCGGAAAGUAGCUUGCUACUUUGCCGGCGAGCGGCGGACGGGUGAGUAAUGUCUGGGGAUCUGCCUGAUGGAGGGGGAUAACUACUGGAAACGGUAGCUAAUACCGCAUAACCUCGCAAGAGCAAAGUGGGGGACCUUCGGGCCUCACGCCAUCGGAUGAACCCAGAUGGGAUUAGCUAGUAGGUGGGGUAAUGGCUCACCUAGGCGACGAUCCCUAGCUGGUCUGAGAGGAUGACCAGCCACACUGGAACUGAGACACGGUCCAGACUCCUACGGGAGGCAGCAGUGGGGAAUAUUGCACAAUGGGCGCAAGCCUGAUGCAGCCAUGCCGCGUGUGUGAAGAAGGCCUUC